Molecule: long non-coding RNA, 1198 nt
Filed under: Diabrotica virgifera virgifera (western corn rootworm)
Lineage: Eukaryota; Metazoa; Arthropoda; Insecta; Coleoptera; Chrysomelidae
Description: uncharacterized LOC126888842
Source: RNAcentral
UAGUUUAGUUGGUCACGAACUCAGAAAGAGGCAACACAUCGUCAUUACUUAGGUGACGGAGUUUGGGCAAAAUUGGGAAAAUAUAUAACUAAAAGACCUCGAACAUCAGCCAAUAACCCAUACUAAUAAUAAUCAAGCAGUAGUUAUAUCUGGAGACUUAUUUACAAGAAAGGAAAAAGGUUAUAAUACCGCCGAUGUGUUGCUUUGCUCAAAUUCCGUCCCUUAGCUACUUGUCACACAGACACUUAGCCUAGUCAAUUUAUAUAGAUUGUAUCAUCAUUUAAUGUGCCAUCAUAUAAAUAUGUGCCAGUUACUGUAAGCAGCUAGGGUAUGGGUUACCCCUAGAGUUACUUUUGAUUGGAUUGGAUAGUACCUAUUUCACAACAUCCAGGAUUGGAUUUAUCACCACAGCAGCCCACUAGUUUUUGCCGUGCCAAGAGGAAAUUCAUUCCUAUCUGGACCUUUUUAAAUAGGACUUGUGGUUAAGAUAAGUUGUUUAAUCUUAUUAUUUACAUAUUUUGGGUACUCUAUAGUUGCUUGCACUGUAAACUUCUUGUAUGCAUACAAUUGAGGUAAACUAGGUACAUAUUUCUUGAUAGAUAGGGUUUUAGGUCGUUGGUUUUUUUUUUGAUUUAAUAUAAGUAGUUUCCAAUAAAUAAAAUUAGGUCUUGUUCAAUAAUCAUUAUAAAUAAUAAUUGUAGCUUAAAAAUUUGAUAGGAAAGGGGUCGUUAAAGAUUUGUCGCGGAUUUCAAAUAGGGAAUAUGUCUUGUAGGUUUUUACAUUGUAUAUAAAGAGUAACUGACCAACUCAUUUAUACAACUCAUUUAUAUCACUCAUUUAUAUAACUCAUUUAUAUAACUCAUUAUAUAUUUACUUAUUAGUGUUUUUGCUAGGUGAGAUCUUUAUUAUUUUUGGUAACCGUAGCGUUCUUGUUGUGGAUCUCACUCUAGCGUAGUUCAAUUUAGGAAAUAAUUACUAACUUUUUAGUUGUAAGGACUUAGUGCUAUUCUGACGGACUUUUGCUUUGGAUUUUGAUUUUAAUACCUUUGCUUGGCCAGUGAUAGUGGAUAAUUGCUUGUUAAGUGGCCUUUGCGGUCCUAUUUGAUCUUCUCCCCAUCCACUAUCACUGUUAUCACGUUGCGUUAUAUGUAAAUUGUUAGUAUUUAACAUUUAUUAUUAAUAUAUUUGUAUGUAUUAA